RNAcentral lists this ribosomal RNA (269 nucleotides) under Blautia sp. SF-50. RNAcentral describes it as "23S rRNA. Bacterial LSU". It matches the Rfam family "Bacterial large subunit ribosomal RNA", at positions 2655 to 2925 of the family's 2925-position model. The record is from RNAcentral. Lineage: Bacteria; Bacillati; Bacillota; Clostridia; Lachnospirales; Lachnospiraceae.
AGGAUAUCUGAGAGGAGCUGUCCUUAGUACGAGAGGACCGGGAUGGACGGACCGCUGGUGGACCGGUUGGCUUGCCAAAGCCAUGGCCGGGUAGCCAAGUCCGGAAGGGAUAAACGCUGAAGGCAUCUAAGCGUGAAGCCCCCCUCAAGAUGAGAUAUCCCAUUCUUAGUGAAGUAAACCCCCUUGAAGACGACGAGGUAGAUAGGGCAGAGGUGGAAGUGUGGUAACACAUGGAGCUGACUGUUACUAAUCGGGUGAGGGCUUGACCA